RNAcentral lists this ribosomal RNA (116 nucleotides) under Pteropus alecto (black flying fox). Lineage: Eukaryota; Metazoa; Chordata; Mammalia; Chiroptera; Pteropodidae. The record is from RNAcentral.
GUCUACAGCUGUGCCACCCUGAACAAGCCCGAUGUCUGAUCUCGGAAGCUAAGCAGGGUCGGGCCUGGUUAGUACUUGGAUGGGAGACCACGUGGGAAGACCAGGUGCUGUAGGCA